CCAUGCCGCGUGCGGGAAGAAGGCCUUCGGGUGUAAACCGCUUUUGUCAGGGAAGAAAAGGUUCUGGCUAAUACCUGGGACUCAUGACGGUACCUGAAGAAUAAGCACCGGCUAACUACGUGCCAGCAGCCGCGGUAAUACGUAGGGUGCAAGCGUUAAUCGGAAUUACUGGGCGUAAAGCGUGCGCAGGCGGUUAUGCAAGACAGAGGUGAAAUCCCCGGGCUCAACCUGGGAACUGCCUUUGUGACUGCAUGGCUAGAGUACGGUAGAGGGGGAUGGAAUUCCGCGUGUAGCAGUGAAAUGCGUAGAUAUGCGGAGGAACACCGAUGGCGAAGGCAAUCCCCUGGACCUGUACUGACGCUCAUGCACGAAAGCGUGGGGAGCAAACAGGAUUAGAUACCCUGGUAGUCCACGCCCUAAACGAUGUCAACUGGUUGUUGGGAGGGUUUCUUCUCAGUAACGUAGCUAACGCGUGAAGUUGACCGCCUGGGGAGUACGGCCGCAAGGUUG
This 510-nucleotide ribosomal RNA is filed under the name uncultured Pseudomonadota bacterium. RNAcentral's name for it is "bacterial SSU rRNA". It matches the Rfam family "Bacterial small subunit ribosomal RNA", at positions 392 to 896 of the family's 1533-position model. Lineage: Bacteria; Pseudomonadati; Pseudomonadota. The record is from RNAcentral.